This 235-nucleotide ribosomal RNA is filed under the name uncultured bacterium. RNAcentral describes it as "partial 16S ribosomal RNA". It matches the Rfam family "Bacterial small subunit ribosomal RNA", at positions 524 to 757 of the family's 1533-position model. The record is from RNAcentral.
UACGAAGGGGGGCUAGCGUUGCUCGGAAUUACUGGGCGUAAAGGGCGCGUAGGCGGAUGUCUAAGUUGGGGGUGAAAGCCCGGGGCUCAACCUCGGAAUAGCCUUCAAUACUGGAUAUCUUGAGUUCGGGAGAGGUGAGUGGAAUGCCGAGUGUAGAGGUGAAAUUCGUAGAUAUUCGGCGGAACACCAGUGGCGAAGGCGACUCACUGGCCCGAUCUGACGCCUGAGGCGCGAA